CCACUGACCAUCUUGGCGCUGUAACCGCCUCAACUCCGUCUCUCUCCCUCCACUUUUCAUUCAACUUCAGUGGCUGGAGAACAGACGACAACAGACAUGGAGCUCACUGACUCAGUUGCACGCACGAUUCGUUUUAUCCAACAAAGGCCUGCGUGUAAAGAAAUCAAAUUUUUUUCCUGGGAGGAUCAAAGUUGUUUUCCAAAAGCGACCUGGAGGGAGCACAUUUCACCAGUUUUAAAAUCCCUUUACUUUUAAGGCUCUUGGGGGCUGGCUCCAGAAUACAUAGCUGACCUCCUGACCCCUGAGCCUGUAUGCAACCUGAGAUCCUCUGACUGCCUGUUGGAAAUGAGGCAUCAUGUGAAGCAGGGGAAACAUGUCUCUGACUCCCGGACCACCAACACCCGGCUACCCCUAAGGCUGUUCCUUCUCCCCUUCUUGCUCGGCCUCACCCUCCCUCAUCACUCUGUGUGACCCCUUGUCAGCACUAUGGAGUCCUUCCGGUUCCUUGGCACCAUCAUAUCCCAGGACCUCAAGUGGGAGCUGAACAUCAGCUCCCUCAUCAAAGAACCACAGCAGAGGAUGUACUUCCUGCUGCAGCUGAAGAAAUUCAACGUGCCAAAGGCGGUGAUGGUGCACUUCUACACGGCCAUCAUUGAGUCCAUCUUCCCAUCCUUCAUCACCGCUGGUACGCUGCUGCCACUCCCAAGGGAAGACUGCAGCUUAUCAUUUGCUCUACAGAGAAGGUGAUUGGCUGCAAACUGCCAUCCCUUCUUGACCUGUACUCCUCCAGGACUGUGAGGCGUGCAGGUCAGACAACUGACAACUGUGCCACUCCCCUCUGGCAGAAGGCUGCGAUCCAUCAGAACCAAAACUUCAUGCCAUAAGAACAGCUUCUUCCCCACGGCAGCUGGCCUUAUCAACAAGGUCAGAGACCCCCCACUGACACUGACCUCCCCUCUGGACAUUUAACGCACACAUCAUCCCUGCUCAUUCCACAACUUCGACUUUUUGCAUCUUCUCCUGAACAUCCUGCACAAAUCUCAGCAACACAUUGCACAAGUUUGACAUUUUAUAUACAUUUUUUUGUCCAGUUUGCUUCAGUUUAUUUCUCUUCUCUUGUACUUAAUGCUACAGUGUAAUUUGCUUCUCUAAUUUUUUAUUUUGACUGUUAUGUACGAGUUACCAAGGCAAAUUCUUUGUAUUUGAGAGCCUACUUGGCAAUAAAUCGGAUUCUGAUUCUGGGUGUAAGAAUUGUUUUAACACUGUAUGACGGAUUAAAGUCUUUAAGAAGCUGUUCUUGUGUCUGGUUGUUAGCAAACAGCAUUUAGCUCAAAAUUCCACUGAAGGCACGUUGGAAUAUAUUUAAUAA
Long non-coding RNA from Scophthalmus maximus (turbot), 1369 nucleotides. RefSeq lists it as uncharacterized. Lineage: Eukaryota; Metazoa; Chordata; Actinopteri; Pleuronectiformes; Scophthalmidae. The transcript is spliced from 3 exons. The record is from RefSeq and is a predicted model, not a curated record.